UACAGAGGCCCCAAGCAUUAUCCGGAAUCACUGGGCGUAAAGGGUGUCCAGGCGGCCCUGUUAGUCUCUUGUAAAAUCCGUGGGCUUAACCUACGGUCCGCAAGGGAAACGGCAGGGCUCGAGGGCGCGAGAGAUGUAUGGAACUCAUGGUGGAGGGGUGAAAUCCGUUGAUAUCAUGGGGAACACCAAAGGCGAAGGCAAUACAUUGGCGCGUUCCUGACGCUCACACACGAAAGCCAGGGUAGCGAACGGG
Molecule: ribosomal RNA, 253 nt
Filed under: uncultured bacterium
Lineage: Bacteria
Description: partial 16S ribosomal RNA
Rfam family: Bacterial small subunit ribosomal RNA
Source: RNAcentral